ACUUAAAUUGNAAGAGUUUGAUCAUGGCUCAGAUUGAACGCUGGCGGCAGGCCUAACACAUGCAAGUCGAGCGGUAGCACAGAGAGCUUGCUCUCGGGUGACGAGCGGCGGACGGGUGAGUAAUGUCUGGGAAACUGCCUGAUGGAGGGGGAUAACUACU
Molecule: ribosomal RNA, 160 nt
Filed under: Klebsiella pneumoniae
Lineage: Bacteria; Pseudomonadati; Pseudomonadota; Gammaproteobacteria; Enterobacterales; Enterobacteriaceae
Description: partial 16S ribosomal RNA
Rfam family: Bacterial small subunit ribosomal RNA
Source: RNAcentral